Molecule: ribosomal RNA, 495 nt
Filed under: uncultured bacterium
Lineage: Bacteria
Description: partial 16S ribosomal RNA
Rfam family: Bacterial small subunit ribosomal RNA
Source: RNAcentral
GACGAACGCUGGCGGCGUGCCUAAUACAUGCAAGUAGAACGCUGAAGGAGGAGCUUGCUUCUCUGGAUGAGUUGCGAACGGGUGAGUAACGCGUAGGUAACCUGCCUGGUAGUGGGGGAUAACUAUUGGAAACGAUAGCUAAUACCGCAUAAUAGCAGUUGUUGCAUGAUAACUGUUUGAAAGGUGCAAUUGCACCGCUACCAGAUGGACCUGCGUUGUAUUAGCUAGUUGGUGGGGUAACGGCUCACCAAGGCGACGAUACAUAGCCGACCUGAGAGGGUGAUCGGCCACACUGGGACUGAGACACGGCCCAGACUCCUACGGGAGGCAGCAGUAGGGAAUCUUCGGCAAUGGACGGAAGUCUGACCGAGCAACGCCGCGUGAGUGAAGAAGGUUGUCGGAUCGUAAAGCUCUGUUGUAAGAGAAGAACGAGUGUGAGAGUGGAAAGUUCACGCUGUGACGGUAUCUUACCAGAAAGGGACGGCUAACUACGUG